GAAUAUUGCACAAUGGAGGAAACUCUGAUGCAGCGACGUCGCGUGAGCGAUGAAGGCUUUCGAGUCGUAAAGCUCUGUCCUAGGGGACGAUAAUGACGGUACCCUAGGAGGAAGCCCCGGCUAACUACGUGCCAGCAGCCGCGGUAAUACGUAGGGGGCGAGCGUUGUCCGGAAUUAUUGGGCGUAAAGGGUUCGCGGGCGGCCUUUUAAGUCGGAUGUGAAAGCCCACGGCUUAACCGUGGUAAGCAUUUGAAGCUGGAAGGCUUGAGUUAAGGAGAGGAAAGUGGAAUUCCUAGUGUAGCGGUGAAAUGCGUAGAUAUUAGGAGGAAUACCAGUGGCGAAGGCGACUUUCUGGACUUAUACUGACGCUGAGGAACGAAAGCGUGGGGAGCAAACAGG
Molecule: ribosomal RNA, 399 nt
Filed under: uncultured bacterium
Lineage: Bacteria
Description: bacterial SSU rRNA
Rfam family: Bacterial small subunit ribosomal RNA
Source: RNAcentral